RNAcentral lists this transfer RNA (65 nucleotides) under Furcifer petteri. RNAcentral's name for it is "tRNA-His". It matches the Rfam family "tRNA". Rfam says of the family: Transfer RNA (tRNA) molecules are approximately 80 nucleotides in length. The record is from RNAcentral. Lineage: Eukaryota; Metazoa; Chordata; Lepidosauria; Squamata; Chamaeleonidae.
GCCACGAUAGUUUAUUUUAAAACACUAGCCUGUGAAGCUAGAAAUGGAAUUCCUUCCCCGCAGCU